AGUGAACGUUGGCGGCGUGGAUUAGGCAUGCAAGUCGAGCGAGAACCGUAGCAAUACGGGGACAGCGGCGAAAGGGACAGUAAUGUGUAGGUACCUACCUCCGGGUUCGGGAUAGCUGCGGGAAACUGCAGGUAAUACCGAAUAACGUUUCCGGACCAAAGGUGUGAUUCCACCUGGAGAGGGGCCUGCAUCCUAUUAGCUUGUUGGCGGGGUAACGGCCCACCAAGGCGACGAUGGGUAGCGGGUGUGAGAGCACGACCCGCGUCAUUGGGACUGGGACCCUGCCCAGACACCUACGGGUGGCUGCAGUCGUGAAUCUUCGGCAAUGGGCGCAAGCCUGACCGAGCGACGCCGGGUGCGGGAUGAAGGCCUUCGGGUUGUAAACCGCUGUCGUAGAGGAGGAAAUGCAGGGGGGUUCUCCCCUCUGUUUGACCUAUUCUAGGAGGAAGUACGGGCUAAGUUCGUGCCAGCCGCCGCGGUAA
Molecule: ribosomal RNA, 482 nt
Filed under: uncultured bacterium
Lineage: Bacteria
Description: partial 16S ribosomal RNA
Rfam family: Bacterial small subunit ribosomal RNA
Source: RNAcentral